RNAcentral lists this ribosomal RNA (343 nucleotides) under uncultured bacterium. Its description in RNAcentral is "bacterial SSU rRNA". It matches the Rfam family "Bacterial small subunit ribosomal RNA", at positions 1 to 334 of the family's 1533-position model. The record is from RNAcentral.
ACGAGUAUGUCAGAGUUUGAUCCUGGCUCAGGAUAAACGCUGACAGAAUGCUUAACACAUGCAAGUCAAUGAUGGGAAGCUAAGCCUAGCUUAGAAGAAGUCAUGGCGGACGGGUGAGUAACGUGUAAAGAACUUGCCCUCUAGACUGGGAUAACAGAUAGAAAUGUCUGAUAAUACCGGAUAUUAUUGUUACAUGGCAUCAUGUAGGAAUGAAAGGAUAAGAUUGCUAGAGGAGAGCUUUGCAUCCUAUUAGCUAGUUGGUGAGGUAACGGCCCACCAAGGCAAUGAUGGGUAGCCGGCCUGAGAGGGUGAACGGCCACAAGGGGACUGAGACACGGCCCUU